RNAcentral lists this long non-coding RNA (1256 nucleotides) under Felis catus (domestic cat). RNAcentral's name for it is "lncRNA (ENSFCAG00000050968.1)". Lineage: Eukaryota; Metazoa; Chordata; Mammalia; Carnivora; Felidae. The record is from RNAcentral.
GUUCAAGUUACUCUGUGAGUUCACAGACAGGUUCUGAUCUGAGAGCCGGUCUGUCCUGAAACUAGGGAGAAUUGGGGAACAUGCUAUGUGUUAGAUGCCUUCUUUUUCUCAGUAUUGUGAUACUUAAAGGUACUUGCCUCCCGGGUCUCAUUUAAAAUGCUUCUUUUUGGGGCGCCUGGGUGGCUCAGUCGGUGAAGCAGCCGACUUCAGCUCAGGUCAUGAUCUCACGGUCCGUGAGUUUGAGCCCCGCGUCGGGCUCUGUGCUGACAGCUCAGAGCCUGGAGCCUGUUUCGGAUUCUGUGUCUCCCUCUCUCUGACCCUCCCCCGUUCAUGCUCUGUCACUCUCUGUCUCAAAAAUAAAUUAAGGUUAAAAAAAAAAUAAAAUGCUUCUUUUUACAAGAUGGCUUUACUAGGAGUGAUGUCCAUGGAUGUUGUAUUUCUAAUCCGAUGUGUUGUUGUUUACCUCAAGGGAAAAUGGCUUGCUUUACAUUACCGACUCAGCUGGGUAGAGAGUAUCACCCUGGUGGGGAUGGAGACUGAGGCUGCCAUUUUGAAAUACCUACAUAGGUUCAUCUAUUCAGGCUUGUAUGUAUGUAUCCGUAACACACAUCCACACACACGUGCAUGCACACUGAGGAUUGAAAUACGACUCAACAUUACAAAGAGGACCUUUUAGCAUAAGAGCACACAGGAACUCUGCUAUGGCCUACAUGGUGGUCUUAGAAAGCCAGCCCUGCCUCUCUCGCCUCAACCGACUCUUAGAUUUUGUGAGUGUCACAGUCUUCUAAAAAAACACAUCUGAAGUCUACCUCAGACUCAUUACGAAGCCUCAUUCAGUAUUCGGAGCAGGGCAAGAGGUAAGGGGUGAGGGAUUUUAGUUCUGGAUGGGCUCUGGCCCAUAGCCACGCUCUCAGACUUGCCCACUCUGGUGUCCCUGUGGGAUACGCAAGGCUGAGAUGCCUGCAUUCUUACUGGAAACCUCUGCCUGUAACUCAGCCCUGAAGAGAGUUACAGAGAAUCUGGCAAGAAAAGGGGUGGCUGGGUGAUCUGGCUUCCUCUCAUCUUCCUCUGGUCAUUUCUGAACUAAAACCUGGUCCCAGCCCUCAGGUGUGACCCCCCACCCCCCAGUCCCAUACACCUGCAAAUGGUGAUUUCCUCCUAGGGUUCUGGGUAAGCAGUACCGUGGAGGUGGCCGGCAGUUAAAUGAAGCCACUGACAUGGCUUAAUUUGUGAUAUACUAUUAAAAAAGCAGAUGC